RNAcentral lists this ribosomal RNA (305 nucleotides) under uncultured bacterium. Its description in RNAcentral is "bacterial SSU rRNA". It matches the Rfam family "Bacterial small subunit ribosomal RNA", at positions 337 to 634 of the family's 1533-position model. The record is from RNAcentral.
GCCUACGGGGGGCAGCAGUGGGGAAUAUUGCGCAAUGGGCGAAAGCCUGACGCAGCGACGCCGCGUGAGGGAUGAAGGUCUUCGGAUCGUAAACCUCUGUCAGCAGGGAAGAACGGUCACUGUGCUAAUCAGCAGUGAAUUGACGGUACCUGCAAAGGAAGCACCGGCUAACUCCGUGCCAGCAGCCGCGGUAAUACGGAGGGUGCGAGCGUUAAUAGGAAUUACUGGGCGUAAAGCGCUCGUAGGCGGUAUGUCAAGUCAAGGGUGAAAUCCCCGCGCUCAACGUGGGAACUGUCUUUGAAACU